CAGUCGCCGCGGUAAUACAGAGGAUGCAAGCGUUAUCCGGAAUGAUUGGGCGUAAAGCGUCUGUAGGUGGCUUUUCAAGUCCGCCGUCAAAUCCCAGGGCUCAACCCUGGACAGGCGGUGGAAACUACCAAGCUGGGGUACGGUAGGGGCAGAGGGAAUUUCCGGUGGAGCGGUGAAAUGCGUUGAGAUCGGAAAGAACACCAACGGCGAAAGCACUCCGCUGGGCCGACACUGACACUGAGAGACGGAAGCUAGGGGAGCAAAUGGGAUUAGAUACCCGCGUAGUCCCUGUCUCUUAUAC
This 301-nucleotide ribosomal RNA is filed under the name uncultured bacterium. Its description in RNAcentral is "partial 16S ribosomal RNA". It matches the Rfam family "Bacterial small subunit ribosomal RNA", at positions 509 to 807 of the family's 1533-position model. The record is from RNAcentral.